Molecule: ribosomal RNA, 327 nt
Filed under: uncultured Oscillibacter sp.
Lineage: Bacteria; Bacillati; Bacillota; Clostridia; Eubacteriales; Oscillospiraceae
Description: bacterial SSU rRNA
Rfam family: Bacterial small subunit ribosomal RNA
Source: RNAcentral
UGGGGAAUAUUGGGCAAUGGACGCAAGUCUGACCCAGCAACGCCGCGUGAAGGAAGAAGGCUUUCGGGUUGUAAACUUCUUUUAAGGGGGAAGAGCAGAAGACGGUACCCCUUGAAUAAGCCACGGCUAACUACGUGCCAGCAGCCGCGGUAAUACGUAGGUGGCAGGCGUUGUCCGGAUUUACUGGGUGUAAAGGGCGUGUAGCCGGGCCGACAAGUCAGAUGUGAAAUCCACGGGCUUAACCCGUGAACUGCAUUUGAAACUGUUGGUCUUGAGUAUCGGAGAGGUAACCGGAAUUCCUAGUGUAGCGGUGAAAUGCGUAGAUAC